Molecule: long non-coding RNA, 945 nt
Organism: Homo sapiens (human)
Lineage: Eukaryota; Metazoa; Chordata; Mammalia; Primates; Hominidae
Exons: 3
Source: RefSeq, marked validated
CUGAUUGUCCCUGCCAGUAGAAAGGAAGCUCCGUAAGGUCAGGGACCCCCGUCUCGUUCCAUGUCUAGCCCAGUGCCUGGCCCAUGUGGACCUCAGCAACUGUGGUGGAUGCUGCGAUGAGAGGCCCCGGGAGACCCCUCCAGUGACAGGCUGGGUGUCCCAGUUGUUCAGGGUGUGGUAAGCGGCCUUCAGCCAUCAGCUGCAACUCGCCAGGGUCACACCCUUCCCUGGGACAGCCCACAUUGCAAAGUCCUGGACAUCCUGGUCCAACCGAGGACAGCCCUGAGGACCACUUCUGUGGCAGAGCUCCCUGUGGGGGACCAGUAGCCGCUGUGCUUGAUGGCAUCACAGCCCCACUCCUGCCUCUUGUGUCUUCCCCUCCACAGGUCCAACAUCACUCCGUGAAAGUCUGCUCCCCACCUAGGAGCCCCCUCGAGCCACAGCAGCCUUGCCAGCUGGAGAAGGACCCGAGACGUGCAGAUGGGAGUUGUGGCAGUAGUGGCCAUCUUGAGGGACAGACACCGGGAGAAAACGAGUGAUGCGUGCAAGGAGGGGCAUCGCUGAGCCCACACAAGACUCAAGAUGGAUGAGACAGAGGCGGCCUCAGGUGCCUGCAGGUGGAGAGAGAAGCACUGGGAAGCCUGAAGGAGCAUGAGAAAGACUGUUGCUGUAAGACACGGCGCUAUCUAUGGCCUGAAUAUUUGUUAUCUGUUGAAAUCCUAACCCCGAAGGUGAUGGUAUGAGGAGGUGAGGACUUUGGGAUGGGAUGACUGCUCUCAUAAAGGAGGCUAGAGAAAGGCUCCUGGCCCUUUCCAGCAGGCGAGGACACAGAUGCCAUCUUGAACCAGGAAGUGGCCACACCAGACACGGAAUCUGCCAGCACCUGGUUCCUGCACUUCCCAACCUCCAGAUCUGUGAGAAAUAAAUUUCUGUUGUUUACAGCCA